GGUGAGCCGUGUGCGGGGAACGGAUGUGUGUGUACGUGUCUCCGUGUGCACCAGGGGCCGUGUGCACCACUGUGAUCGUGUGCGUGUGAAGAAAACGUAGUGUUGUAGUGUAAUAGAAAACGGAGACCCUCACGCACGCACGCACGCACGCACACAUAACUUUCUUAUACAACGAAAAAACAAUCAACGAAUUUUAAUCAAAACAAGAAAAUUAAAAGAAAAUCAAAACAAAGGAAGAAAAUAAGCAAGAAAAUUAAAGCAAAAUAAGAAAAUAAAGAAAAGCAAGAAAAUAAAGAAAAUAAUCAAGAAAAUGAAAACAAAACUAGAAAAUAAUCAAGAAAAUCAAGACAAAGUAAGAAAAUAAUCAAGAAAAUAAA
Molecule: long non-coding RNA, 377 nt
Organism: Eriocheir sinensis (Chinese mitten crab)
Lineage: Eukaryota; Metazoa; Arthropoda; Malacostraca; Decapoda; Varunidae
Exons: 2
Source: RefSeq, a predicted model, not a curated record